This is a long non-coding RNA of Perognathus longimembris pacificus (Pacific pocket mouse), 755 nucleotides long. RefSeq lists it as uncharacterized. The transcript has 3 exons. The record is from RefSeq and is a predicted model, not a curated record. Lineage: Eukaryota; Metazoa; Chordata; Mammalia; Rodentia; Heteromyidae.
AGGCAAGCACUCUUGCCACUAGGCCAUAUUCCCAGCCCAGAAAAGUUACUUUGAAAUGGCACUUGAAAUUGGGACAGUUUACCCAGUAGUAAUCAAGUAAUCUACCUGGCUUUGUGACCUGAGGACUGACCCCUGGACACAACUUCUCUCUGUCCCAACUUCUGGCUGGACUGCAUUGAGAAGUUAUUCUUUCUUCAUACUAACAAAGUUUCCUAACUGUACUCUCUGUUCUUCUGCUAGAGUGAGACAAUUCCUUUGGGGGUUUUCUUGGCUCCAGCCUUGAGAUUUCAUGGUAUAGAUGACAAACAGAGUAGCAAAUGUUGUCUAAAUCAUCUGUUAGGAAUGCAACCCUCACUGGUAAUGAGAUGCUUUAGACAUUUUAUGUUAUGAAAGUUAACCCAGUUGUACUAGCUAGCCUUGAAAGUCUUUCAAUGCAGUCCUUAUGGUUGUGGUUUGGGUCCAUGCUUUGCAUUCCAAUGGUUUCCCUUUUGUAUGGGAGCUAAGGGUGUUUCCCAUUUUCCCACCAAGCUUCAUUUCUUUAAAAGAAAACGUGAAACUCAUUCAUUACUCUUUAGAUUGUAGUAGGUUCACAGUAUUUGCAUUAUGGUCAUCAAAGCAUUUGGGUAAAACUUACUUCUUGGUAUUUGUCUCCAAAUACCAGAAAUUCACUUGGUAGUUAAGGGAGCCAUAUGAGAGUCAGCACGCUCUUGUCUUUGCUGCUUUGGCUCGUGGCAUAUGUAUCAUGCAAACAGUAC